Molecule: non-coding RNA, 280 nt
Organism: Vicia faba (fava bean)
Lineage: Eukaryota; Viridiplantae; Streptophyta; Magnoliopsida; Fabales; Fabaceae
Source: the annotation of a GenBank genome assembly
AACCUGGUCCUCCUCUAUUACCCUUCUUGAAUUUCUCUCUCAUGCAACUGCACGAAUUUCAAUACUUUUCUCAGCUCCUUUUUCUAUGUCUGGUUUCACUUCACACUUUGUUAGUACAUCUUUCUCUCUCUCUUUCUCUCUCACUCUCCUCACUUCACUCUCAACUACCUCAUUUCCAGCAACAUUAUUACCUCAUCUUCUCUUUUUCAUCGCUAUAAAUCAUCAUGAUUCUUUUGUAACAACAACAGCAUCUGCUUUUCUAAGAUUCUCUCCUCACUAA